Molecule: long non-coding RNA, 501 nt
Filed under: Phoenix dactylifera (date palm)
Lineage: Eukaryota; Viridiplantae; Streptophyta; Magnoliopsida; Arecales; Arecaceae
Description: long non-coding RNA (PDAC_LNC022372)
Source: RNAcentral
AAUCAUUCCGACCCAUUGAAAGGAGUUUUCAAUGAUAUUGUGAUAGAGAUCACAAUAUAUCUCACUACCAGUCAGAGUAGAACCUAUGGGGUCACACACACUAGAGGCAUUGAUCGAUCCGAUGGUUGAAUCGUGAUUAGGAAUCACAAGUAAUCAAUUCGAUUGAUAAUAAGUUGAGGAAGGAACAAAGGGAAUUAAUUAAUUGGACUUGAAACAAGAGUCCUACUUGGAGUUGGAUUCUUGGAGUCCUAAUUGGAUUAGGACUGGGAUUCCUACUUGGACUGGAAAUCCUAUUUGGAGUAGGACUAGGAUUCCUACUUGAAGUAGGAUUCCUACAAUCCUAAUUAGAUUAGGAGUUUUGAAUUAAAUUUGGAUUCCUACUUGGAGUAGGAUUUCUAGAGUCCUAAUCGGAUUAGGACUUGGAAUUCAAAUCAGAGUCCUAAUUGGAUUAGGACUAAAAUUAAAUAAGUCCUAAUUGGAUUAGGGUUUCUUAAGUCCUAA